RNAcentral lists this ribosomal RNA (151 nucleotides) under uncultured bacterium. RNAcentral describes it as "partial 16S ribosomal RNA". It matches the Rfam family "Bacterial small subunit ribosomal RNA", at positions 364 to 507 of the family's 1533-position model. The record is from RNAcentral.
UUGGACAAUGGGCGAAAGCCUGAUCCAGCCAUGCCGCGUGUGUGAAGAAGGUCUUCGGAUUGUAAAGCACUUUAAGUUGGGAGGAAGGAUUGUAGAUUAAUACUCUGCAAUUUUGACGUUACCGACAGAAUAAGCACCGGCUAACUCUGUG